This 253-nucleotide ribosomal RNA is filed under the name uncultured bacterium. RNAcentral describes it as "partial 16S ribosomal RNA". It matches the Rfam family "Bacterial small subunit ribosomal RNA", at positions 524 to 776 of the family's 1533-position model. The record is from RNAcentral.
UACGUAGGGUGCGAGCGUUGUCCGGAAUUACUGGGCGUAAAGAGCUCGUAGGCGGCUUGUCACGUCGUGUGUGAAAGACCGGGGCUUAACUCCGGUUCUGCAUUCGAUACGGACUAGCUAGAGUGUGGUAGGGGAGAUCGGAAUUCCUGGUGUAGCGGUGAAAUGCGCAGAUAUCAGGAGGAACACCGGUGGCGAAGGCGGAUCUCUGGGCCAUUACUGACGCUGAGGAGCGAAAGCGUGGGGAGCGAACAGG